GGUACUGUAUCUGUUACGUCUUGAAAUUGAACUCUCUUUACCUGUAGCAUUAAACUUACAGUUUUUCCAAUUUACGCCAGGUGCGCACUACACUCUCUCAGCUUCACUGAAUUUUUUUCCCCUUAAUUAGCGGACCCCGGAAAACGAGCUGGUCCCAGCCACUCCUGAAGACCUGAUGAAUCAUUUGAGAAUUUUGGCAUCCGUAUUCAUCUUAUUUUGGUCUUUUGAGUAAUGGGUUGCAUUCAUUCAAGAGCAUGUAUUGGUCAGUUAUGUGUAACCCGAGAUGCUGAGGUUAAACAAAGUGAAACUGUGAAAACAGCGGCUGAGAUUGCAGUGUUCUCACCUGCUCAAUCUGAUGAUGAAGGGGAAAUUAGAGAUCAAGUAAAUCAGUUAGGUUCAACAAAGGAUAAUGAAGUGGGUAUAACUCGGCUGUCCAGGGUGUCAGCCCAGUUUCUACCUCAUGACAGUUCACGAACUGUAAAGGUUCCAUCAGAGAGUUAUGAACUAUGCUACUCAUUUCUGUCUCAGAGAGGUUACUACCCUGAUGCCCUUGAUAAGGCCAACCAGGACAGUUUUUGUAUUCACUCUCCAUUUGGGAUGAGCCCAAAUGAUCAUUUCUUUGGGGUUUUUGAUGGACAUGGGGAAUUUGGAGCUCAAUGCUCACAAUUUGUAAAGCAGAAGUUAUGUGAAAAUUUGCUUAGGAACAGUCAAUUUCAAACUGAUGCAGUUGAAGCAUGCCAUUCUGCUUUUGUGAUGACGAAUUCACAGUUGCAUGCUGAUACAAUAGAUGAUAGCAUGAGUGGAACAACUGCAAUUACAGUACUAGUUCGAGGUAGGAUGCUUUAUAUUGCCAAUUCAGGUGAUUCGAGGGCUGUUGUAGGCGAGAAAAGAGGGGAGGACAUUGUUGCUGUUGACCUAUCAACUGAUCAUACUCCUUUCCGGGUUGAUGAACUUGAACGUGUGAAGCUUUGUGGAGCUAGAGUUCUCACCUUGGAUCAGAUUGAAGGACUCAAGGACCCAGAUGUACAGUGUUGGGGAACUGAAGAAGAUGAUGAUGGUGAUCCUCCCAGAAUUUGGGUGCAAAAUGGUAUGUAUCCAGGUACAGCUUUCACAAGAAGUAUAGGUGAUUCUAUUGCUGAGACAAUAGGUGUAGUUGCAAACCCAGAAAUCGUUGUCUUGGAGCUUGCACCAAAUCAUCCUUUCUUUGUGAUUGCUAGUGAUGGUGUAUUCGAGUUCCUUUCAAGCCAAACCGUGGUGGACAUGGUUGCAAAAUACAAGGACCCCCGUGAUGCAUGUGCUGCAAUUGUUGCUGAAUCAUAUCGUCUUUGGCUUCAAUAUGAAACUCGUACUGAUGACAUUACUGUGAUUGUUGUUCAUGUAAAUGGAUUAAAUGAUGCUGCACUCUAUCGACCAACAAGUUCUUUUGCAUUUACAAAACCUGCUUUGCCUCAAGUGGUUGAAGUAUCCGGAUCAGAGUGUCCAUCGCAUAUGAGAUGGAAUUCUAGAAGCCAUCAUGCACGGCAUGAUAUAUCACGGUCUAGACUGCGGUCUAUUGAAAGCUCUCUAGAGAAUGGUCAAGCAUGGGUUCCCCCUUCUCCAGCCCACAGAAAGACUUGGGAAGAAGAAGCUCGGAUUGGACGGGCUUUGAACGAUCAUUUUCUUUUUAGAAAACUUACGGACUCCCAGUGUCAUGCUUUGUUAGACUGCAUGCAAAGAGUUGAGGUUCAAGCAGGAGACGUUGUAGUUGAACAGGGUGGAGAAGGUGAAUGUUUCUACAUUGUUGGCAAUGGAGAAUUUGAGGUCUUCGCUACGCAGGCUCAAUUGAUUUCAUUUCCAGUAUCUAAUAUGCCAUCUCUGACUUGGAGCAUAUUAUGUCAGGAAGAGAAAAUUGGAGAAGUGCCUAGGGUUCUACAACGUUAUACAGCUGAAAAGUUAUCUUCCUUUGGGGAGCUGGCACUGAUGUCUAAUAAACCCCUUCAAGCUUCUGUCAGAGCAGUGACUAAUGGAACUCUUUGGGCACUUAAAAGAGAGGAUUUUAGAGGAAUCCUCAUGACUGAGUUUUCUAAUUUGUCGUUAUUGAAGUUACUUCGAUCGGUAGAUAUUCUUUCAAGGUUGCCAAUUUUACAGCUGAGUCAUAUUGCAGAUUCACUUUCACAAUUGUCUUUUUCUGAUGGGCAGACAAUUGUUGAUAAGAGUGAGGAUCUUCUGGGAAUGUAUAUCAUCCAGAAGGGUGUGGUGAAAAUUACUUGUGACGUAGAUUCAGCAAAAAAUGUAAAUGCACCUAGUAUUAUACCUCCAUCUGACAAUCACUAUGAUGAUAUAACCAACGAGAGUCUCUCUGUGGAGAAGACUGAGGGGAGCUAUUUUGGAGAAUGGAAACUUCUUGGUGAAGAUAUUUCUCCCUUUAGAGUUGUCGCUGUGGGCGAUGUCGUAUGCUCUGUCUUAACAAGGGAAAAGUUUGAUGCAGUUGUUGGCCCUCUGGCAAGGUCUUCGCAGGAUGAUCAAAAGUCAAAGGACUACUCUACUAGUUUCUUCUUGGAAUCUAACAAAAAAUUGGACAAUUUAUCUAUUGAGAAGGUCCAGCUCGUUGAUUUGGAGUGGAGAACGUGUUUGUAUUCUACGGACUGCUGUGAGAUUGGCCUUGUAAGUUUGAGAGACACAGAAAAUUUUCUGAGCUUGAAGAGGUUUUCUAAACAGAAGGUUAAAAAACUUGGAAAAGAAGCGCAAGUCCUGAAAGAAAAGUAUCUGAUGACGAAUAUAAACCCGUCUGCUAGUGUUCCUCGAAUUAUAUGCACUUCUGCUGACUAUACACAUGCUGGCAUACUUCUAGAUACGCGUAUUGCUUGCUCUUUGACCUCAAUAAUUUACAAGGCACUUGAUGAACCAUCUGCACGGUUCAUUGCGGCCUCUGUUGUUAUUGCCCUGGAAAAUUUGCACAAGAAUGGCAUUCUCUAUCGAGGCGUGACCCCUGAUGUUCUAAUGUUAGAUCAGGCAGGAUAUAUAAAGCUAGUGGACUUCAGGUUCGGGAAGAAGUUUUCUGAUGAUUGUGGUGAGAGAACAUACACCAUAUGUGGUAUGGCAGAUACUUUGGCCCCAGAAAUUAUCCAAGGGAAAGGCCAUGGUUUUCCAGCUGACUGGUGGGCACUUGGAGCUUUGAUCUACUUCAUGCUAUACAGUGAAAUGCCUUUUGGUUCUUGGAGAGAAAGUGAGCUCACGUUUGCUAGAAUUGUGAAAGGACAGCUAACCCUCCCACAAACUUUCAGCCUUAAAGCUGUUGAUCUCAUUACUAAGUUAUUAGACGUUGAUGAAAGCACUAGACUUGGAAGUCAAGGCAUUGACACUAUUAAAAGUCAUCCAUGGUUCGACGAUAUUGAUUGGAAAGCUUUAGCAGACAAUACUUCUCCUGUUCCCCAUGAGAUUAUCUCGCGUUUAAAUCAAUACCUGGAAAGUCACCCUGAAGAUGCAGCACCUUUGUUGAAUUCUCCAUUACGAGAGGUGGAAGAACUUAACACCCCAGAAUGGCUUGAAGACUGGUAGAACAGUUUAAUUGGCUUAUCGCCUCUUGUUCCCUCUACAACUGCAUUUUUUCCCUCUUCAGUCUACUGGUGGGCUAUUUACCAUAAUGAUCCAUGACUACCCCUGUUGGAAUGAAGAGGCACAUUGUUAUAUAUCCUGUACAUGAUUUAUCUGUAGCCAUGGAGUAGUACCACUUCUGCAGCUUAUAGAGGCUUUGACUGGGUUAGCCAAUUCUUGAUCGGGUUCUUAGAAAUCUUGUCCAGCAGCAGCCUGGAUCGAUUCGAGUUCCAGUUCAGACCUGUUGAUCCUGUCUGGUUCUUAUAAAUAUGGUAGGAUGUAAGGUAUCCAUAUUGGAAGUAUUGUAAUUACAUACCAUUGACUCGAGCUAAGCUUGCAAGAACCAAAUGAAGUAUGUCCGGACCAUGAUCAUGACCCUACCUUGGUUGAUCAAACAAAUGUGGUACAUAUAAAUUUAUAAAUCUUAUCCUAGUAGAUUCAGUGCAUGCAGACAUGGACUUAUCGUUCUUCAAUAAUAUUGUGGUACACAGUAUCAGUGUAGUUUUUUUACACUAACAAAACAUGACUUGAAAUACAAUGCGAUACGCAAUGUAUAGAGAAAAUAUUGGGUCUGCUUCCCUCUGGUACUUUUUUUGCUAGAGAAUAUUGAGUGCAUAUUUUCAAAUUUUACAUUCAAGGAACUCAACCCAUCUAACUUUGUAUAAUUAUAUUCGUGUACUUGGGGAUCUGUUCUUUCUAA
Olea europaea var. sylvestris is the source of this 4273-nucleotide RNA transcript. It is a transcript of the gene named protein phosphatase 2C and cyclic nucleotide-binding/kinase domain-containing protein, with no coding region annotated. NCBI's taxonomy places the organism in Eukaryota, Viridiplantae, Streptophyta, Magnoliopsida, Lamiales, Oleaceae. The transcript has 17 exons. The record is from RefSeq and is a predicted model, not a curated record.